Molecule: ribosomal RNA, 500 nt
Filed under: uncultured bacterium
Lineage: Bacteria
Description: partial 16S ribosomal RNA
Rfam family: Bacterial small subunit ribosomal RNA
Source: RNAcentral
AUUGAACGCUGGCGGCAUGCCUUACACAUGCAAGUCGAACGGCAGCACGGGAGCAAUCCUGGUGGCGAGUGGCGAACGGGUGAGUAAUAUAUCGGAACGUGCCCAGUCGUGGGGGAUAACGCAGCGAAAGCUGUGCUAAUACCGCAUACGAUCUAAGGAUGAAAGCGGGGGAUCGCAAGACCCCGCGCGAUUGGAGCGGCCGAUAUCAGAGUAGCUAGUUGGUGGGGUAAAGGCCCACCAAGGCGACGAUCUGUAGCUGGUCUGAGAGGACGACCAGCCACACUGGAACUGAGACACGGUCCAGACUCCUACGGGAGGCAGCAGUGGGGAAUUUUGGACAAUGGGCGCAAGCCUGAUCCAGCAAUGCCGCGUGCAGGAUGAAGGCCUUCGGGUUGUAAACUGCUUUUGUACGGAACGAAACGGCGAGCUCUAAUAAAGUUUGCUAAUGACGGUACCGUAAGAAUAAGCACCGGCUAACUACGUGCCAGCCGCCGCAGUAA